Jaculus jaculus (lesser Egyptian jerboa) is the source of this 344-nucleotide long non-coding RNA. RefSeq lists it as uncharacterized. Lineage: Eukaryota; Metazoa; Chordata; Mammalia; Rodentia; Dipodidae. The record is from RefSeq and is a predicted model, not a curated record. The transcript has 3 exons.
GCUUCACGCCACUCAUAGCUGCUGUGGUGAAGGACAAUGUGCAGGUAGCGGCGAUCCUGCUCACGAAGGCGAACGUGAAUGCCAGCGACUAGUGGACCAGAAAUGCUCUCUUCCAUGCCAUAGUAUGUCAAUCAAAAAAUAUGAUCCACCUUCUUCUUGAGCAUGGUGGUGUGAUGAUGAUUUGGUAGACAGUUCUGGACAUACUCUGCAUUACUACAUUUUAACGGAUAGCCUUAACAAGACGGCUAAAAGCCACUCACAGCUGCUGUGGUGAAGGACAGUGUGCAGGUAGCGGCGAUCCUGCUCACGAAGGCGAACAUGAAUGCCAGCGAUGAGUGCAAGAG